ACUCCUACGGGAGGCAGCAGUGGGGAAUAUUGCACAAUGGGGGAAAGCCCUGAUGCAGCCAUGCCGCGUGUAUGAAGAAGGCCUUCGGGUUGUAAAGUACUUUCAGCAGUGAGGAAGGUAGUGUAGUUAAUAGCUGCAUUAUUUGACGUUAGCUGCAGAAGAAGCACCGGCUAACUCCGUGCCAGCAGCCGCGGUAAUACGGAGGGUGCAAGCGUUAUCCGGAAUCAUUGGGUUUAAAGGGUCCGCAGGCGGACGUAUAAGUCAGUGGUGAAAGCCUACAGCUUAACUGUAGAACUGCCAUUGAUACUGUAUGUCUUGAAUUCGGUCGAAGUGGGCGGAAUGUGUCAUGUAGCGGUGAAAAUGCAUAGAUAUGACACAGAACACCGAUAGCGAAGGCAGCUCACUAGGCCUGAAUU
RNAcentral lists this ribosomal RNA (416 nucleotides) under uncultured bacterium. RNAcentral's name for it is "bacterial SSU rRNA". It matches the Rfam family "Bacterial small subunit ribosomal RNA", at positions 335 to 741 of the family's 1533-position model. The record is from RNAcentral.